This is a long non-coding RNA of Mus musculus (house mouse), 553 nucleotides long. RefSeq annotates it as predicted gene 45710. Lineage: Eukaryota; Metazoa; Chordata; Mammalia; Rodentia; Muridae. The record is from RefSeq and is a predicted model, not a curated record. The transcript is spliced from 4 exons.
CAGCAUUCACUGAGCCCCACCGGUCCUAGCCAGGCCGUCCUCAAAAAGGAGUCCCAGGAUCUCCUUAUGCAGCCCUGGCUGGCAUGAAAUUCAGUCUUACAAGCUGACCUCAAUCAGAGAUCUGUCUGCCUUUGCCUCCUCCUCCGCGCUGGGAUUAGAGGAUGUUAUCAACUCAAUGGUAACAGCAUUAUGCAUGCUCAUUGUGUCUGUGUUGGCUCUAAUACCAGAAACCUCAACAAAGACAAUCCUUGGAGGGCAAGGGCCACAUAGAACUGACCUUGUUCUGCCAUGACUGUCAGAACCCUGGACUUCAACUCAUGUCGGCACUAAGCAACUUCCUGGGAGACUAGGGAAGCUAUCUAGAUAGGAGGUAUGCUGAAAUACCAACCUCCCAAGUUGUUCUAAAGACAGUUCUGUCUGUCUACUCUUUUAAAAGAUGAGCCAGUCACAGGACUCCAAUUCAUGUGCCUUUCUGUUCUCCCACUUACUCAUUGCUUAAAUGAUGACAGCGUGGAGUCCUUCCCCAGCAGAGUGGCCCAUGGCUGUGUGGCUA